RNAcentral lists this ribosomal RNA (492 nucleotides) under uncultured bacterium. Its description in RNAcentral is "partial 16S ribosomal RNA". It matches the Rfam family "Bacterial small subunit ribosomal RNA", at positions 29 to 507 of the family's 1533-position model. The record is from RNAcentral.
AGUGAACGCUGGCGGUAGGCCUAACACAUGCAAGUCGAACGGCAGCACAGUAAGAGCUUGCUCUUACGGGUGGCGAGUGGCGGACGGGUGAGGAAUACAUCGGAAUCUACUUUUUCGUGGGGGAUAACGUAGGGAAACUUACGCUAAUACCGCAUACGACCUACGGGUGAAAGCAGGGGAUCAUCGGACCUUGCGCGAUUGAAUGAGCCGAUGUCGGAUUAGCUAGUUGGCGGGGUAAAGGCCCACCAAGGCGACGAUCCGUAGCUGGUCUGAGAGGAUGAUCAGCCACACUGGAACUGAGACACGGUCCAGACUCCUACGGGAGGCAGCAGUGGGGAAUAUUGGACAAUGGGCGCAAGCCUGAUCCAGCCAUACCGCGUGGGUGAAGAAGGCCUUCGGGUUGUAAAGCCCUUUUGUUGGGAAAGAAAAACAGCAGGUUAAUACCCCGCUGUUCUGACGGUACCCAAAGAAUAAGCACCGGCUAACUUCGUG